This is a long non-coding RNA of Bos taurus (domestic cattle), 9726 nucleotides long. NCBI's taxonomy places the organism in Eukaryota, Metazoa, Chordata, Mammalia, Artiodactyla, Bovidae. The record is from Ensembl.
GUAAGUAAUGAACAUUUCCAUGGGUUAUGACUUUGAGGUUUUGUUUUACUUCAUUCUAAUACAUGGCCCUUCUAAAAGUGGUACGAUCAUAACUCAGCCUAGGUUUAAUUAAGAUUAUUUUUGAAAAAUCUCGAUGGGUAGGUAAUUUACCUAGUUUCUCAUUCAGAUUUAGGAAAUUUUGCUUUAUUGCUGCAUGCAUUUCUAAUUAUCUUUUCCCAUGCUGUUCUUAGUAUGGAUGGAACACAGUCUCUCUCUUUCCUGCUUGGUAUGUCAGCAAACAUUUGAGGAGUGUUUAGUUCAGAAUACUGUUGGGUAUUAUGGAUUAAAUAAUCUGAUAUACCUGUCAAUUUCAUCAGAAACAGCAUUUAUGUAUAUACACAUAGUCUAUAUCGGGCUUCCCAAGUGGCAUAGUGGUAAAGAAUCCGUCUGCCAGUCCAGGAGAUGCAAGAGAUUCAAGUUUGAUACUUGGGUCAGGAAGAUCCCUGGAGAAGGAAAUGGCAACCCACUCCAGUAUUCUUGCCUGGAAAAUUACAUGCACAAAGGAGCCUGGAAGACUACAGUCCUUGAGGUCAAAAAGAGUCAGAUGCAACUGAGUACACACACACUCACACAUCUAUACCACGUUAUACACCAGAACACACACACACAUGCCUAUACCAUGCUAUGCACCAGAAAUCUUUGUGAAAUGUAAACUCAAAUUAGAGACCUUGUUUUAUUUUGCAGUGAAAUGGAGUUAAUCUCAUUGCAGUGUUGUGUAUUUUAAGAUACCUAGAUUAUAAUAGGGACUCAUUAACUGAUAACUAUUUAUUAUUUAUCUAGAUAUGCUCCAAAGUGCUUUGCUCAUGGCAAACAGUAAAUACUGGUUGAAUGAAUGAACAUGGCGUGUUCCUUACUAUACACGUAGGGAAAACGCCAGGAUGGGGAUCCAGUAGCGCAAUGACGUCAUCAAUGACGCUUAGCGUGGAGGUGUCUGCCCUAAACCUUUCACCAGAUGCAGGCUCUCUCUUGACCUUGGAAUGUGGAUUACUUAAAAUUUUAGGGGGAAAAAAAUGUGUACCUAGUAGGCCCUCGCCUCUUGUUAGUAUGGAGCUUGAGCAGUUUUCUUAAAUGUGGAAAAGCUAAGCUCACUUGACACAAAUCAGGGGGAAAAAAGGUUUCUACAAGUUAUUCAAGUUAUUCAUGUCAAAAGCGAUUAGUGGGCCCCAGCUUCCAUUACAUCAUUCAUUGGGAGAGGCUGGGAGCUCUGCAAGUCAUAUGAUUCCAUGGAGGAAUUAAGGCUGAAUUUUCUUUUGUGUUUCUGCCCUUAGCUAUAUUCAGUAGUAAGCAUGUUUGGAAAAGGUUAAAACAGAACAUGGAGCUCUAGUUUAUUUUAAUGCUGUCAGACUGCUAAGCAGUGGAAACUUGCUGAAGAUAUUUACCAAGCUGUUUCCUUAAAGACUUUAGUGAAUUAAUUAAAAGGGUUCUGAGAGAUACAACAUGCCAGACCCCUACUGGCUCAUAAAAUUGUUCUUUCUGAUUGAUGUGACUUGACAGCUAAGCACAGCGCAUGUAAAGCUGCAGGGGAAUAAAACAAGAGUAGUGCUGAUGUGUUCAAAAGACAUGUAAGUGUUCCACUUGAAUUGGCUGUGACCGCAGAGUCAGCUGGACACUGUGCUCGUUUCCUUUGGCUCAAGUACCCGAGCUCUGUAGAAGCACAGAUUUGGCAAGGUGCUCAACUACUGAGUGAAAAUGAAGUCACAGCUUCAGAAGAGAUUCACAGAUGGCGAUGUACCACUCUGCCAGUUGCCAGCACUCUUUCUACCUCCACUGAGAACAUGGAGAGAUUCUGCCACUACAGAAGGAGGAAAGAAAGUUAUAAUUCAAGAAGGACUUCCUGGGCUUCCCUGGUGGUCCAGUGGUUAAGAAGUUGCCUAGCAAUGCAGGGGACAAGGGCUCGAUCGCUGGUCCGGGAGGACCCCACACGACGCAACUACUAAAGCCCACCCGCCCUAGAGCCUGUGCUCCACAAUGAGAAGCCACAGCAACGAGAAGUUCACACACCACAGCUGGAGAGUAGCCCUCACUCGCCACAACUAGUGAAACCCACAUGGAGCAACAAAAACUCAGAGCAGGCAUAAAUAAACAGAUAUUAAAAAGUAAAAAAAAGAAAGGACUUCCUGCUGUCAAGGCAUGACAGACACCACCACAAAACAAGUGAGGGAGAAUCUUAGCUGAGAAAAGAUGUUUCUGUUAUAGAAAAUACCCCACCUCACCCCCUCCCCCAUCCCAAGCCUCGCUUGAGGGAGGCUCUACUCUCGGAAGGGCUUGGGCGGUCGGAGUCAGAAUCAGCAAGCUUUUGUUGAAUAGACAGAUACUGCAUACAAGGCAGCUCCAUGUACUUCUUUCUACUACACCCUUUUAAUAUUUGAACUUAAGAGAAACCCUCCAACUUUUUCCUAAGUGGAAUUUUAUUUUGAAAUGAGAUCCUGCAGCGUGAGGACCAACUACAGAAACACUUUAGUGUUAAGGGACCUCCACAGCCUGAAACAUUUUUCCUAACUUGGACCACUGUUCCAUGCGCAUCCAGAGGCUAUACUACAUCCUACAUUAACAGCUUGUUCUUAACCUCCCACUCCAAAGAUUUACUGAGAAUUUCUUUCUGAGCAGAGCUACUCUCGUAAAAGAAAUAGUAGAAGCAUGUUGUGUUAGGAUAAUUGCUAUAAUAGAAAGAUCCAAGUAAAGAACAUAGCUCACAUACAGUAGUUUAUUUCUUGCUUCUAGGGUUGUAUAACUUUUGAACUGUGGUGUUGGAGACAACUCUUGAGAGUCCCUUGGACUCCAAGGAGAUCAAAUCAGUCAAUCCUUAAGGAAAUCAGUCCUGAAUAUUCAUUGGAAGGUCUGAUGCUGAAGCUGAAACUCCAAUACUUUGGCCACCUGAUGCGAAGAACUGGCUCAUUGGAAAAGACCCUGAUGCUAGGAGAUAUUGAAGGCAGGAGAAGGAGACAACAGAGGAUGAGAUGGUUGGAUGGCAUCACCGACUUGAUGGACAUGACUUUGAGCAAGCUCUGGGAGUUGGUGAUGGACAGGGAAGCCUGGCAUGCUGCAGUCCAUGGGGUCUCGGUCAGACACGACUGAGCGACUGAACUGAGGGUUGCAGAGCAGCACUCCUCCAUGUAGCCAUUUAGGAACCCAGGUUAAUGAAAGCCUGCAAAAGGCAUGGAGGAAACAGGAGGUUUUUGUGAAUCUAGAAGUAGGGCUGUUGUCAUUUUUUGUGCUAAGUCAUGUCUGACUUGGUGACCCCAUGGACUGUAGCCCACCAGGCUCUUCUUGUCCACAGGAUUUCCGAGGCAAGAAUACUGGAGUGGGUUGCCAAAGAAAAUUUUCAUAUAUAGAGAGGACUGGGCCCCCAGGAUGAGGGUGAGCAUGUGGAGCGUAUCCAUCCUACUUUCAUCAGUCUGGAGACCGCUGACGGCCAUUGGCAUUAGUUACCAUCCAGAAGGAUUUGACUGCUAAGGCCUGAAGGAAAAAUGUUGUGUUUAUUGACUGUGUUCAUCUCUCACACUCAAACUUUUCUUUCCAUUCUCCCAACUAUGUCUUAAUUCAUCAUUUCCUUUUUUAAAAAAAAAAAAAUGCAUGUAUUUGGGGGCACUUGGUCUCAGCCACCGCUCACAGGAUCUCUGAUCUUUGUUGUAGCAAUUGGGAUCUUCAGCUGCAGCACGCUCAAUCUUUUAGUUGUGGCAUGCAAACUCUUAAUUGCGACAUGUGGAAUCUAGUUCUUGACCAGGAAUUGAACCCAGGCUCCCUGCAUUAAGAGCUUGGAGUCUUAACCACUGGACCACCAGAGAAGUCCCCAGUUCAUCAUUUCUUAAACUAUGUAAAUAGCCUCCUAACAGAGGCCCCUACCUCUGUCCUCUCGCACCCUCAACCCCAUCUAACAUGUGACUCACCGUGUUAUGCUUCAAUGGUUCCUCGUCACUCACAGGCUUGAGUCAACUUUCGUGAUAAAAAAACUGAAUUCACAUUCCAGUCCCUUCCUACCUCUUAGACCUCAUCUCCUGGCAUCGCACCCUGGGCAUUCUGUGUCCAGCUUUGUCUUCCCCGCAUACUCUAUGUACUGACAUGCCUCCUUGCCUGGGAUGUGCCAUCCUUCCUGGGCCCACUCCCACCUGUCCAUCAGUUUUCUCUUUAAUGUCACUCCAUUGGUGAAACCUUUCUUGAUUCUCCUCGGCUUGGUGAUGCACCCCUUCUUCAAGAGAAUCAUAAUUGAUUGGUAAAGAAUAGUUAUCUCUCUAAACAAUGUAUUUUUCUCCUUUAGACUCUAAGCUAAAUGAGGCCCUAGAACAUGUGUUUUCAUUGUGUAUCUCAAGUGCUUCAUAUGGUUUCUGAUGAAGAGCUGGUAUUCAGUGAAGAUUCGUCAAGUGAAUGAAUGAAUGGUUUUUAACCCUUGGAUCAUUUAAGGAUGAAGAUGCUCUUUCUUGUCUGUCACCCACCUAAGAAUAAAGGGUUUGGAACUUCCCUGAUGAUUCAGUGAGUAAGACUUCGUGCUCUCAAUGCAGGGGACUCUGGUUCAGUCCCUGGUCAGGGACAUCCCAUAUGCCACAGGUGAAAAUCACACAUGCCACAACAAAGACCUGGCACAGCCAAAAGAAGAAGAAGAAAAAAAAAAAGAAUAAAGGGUUUGAAGAAGACAGGACAGGAAGUUGACACAAAAGCAGAAGAAAUGAAAGUUGGAUCUCAGAAGACUGUUGAAUGAGAGGUCUCUGACAUGUCAGUGUGUAGGGUUGGAUGGGGCAUCUUAAUGCUGUGAGAGAGGAGACUGGUCGUCAGUACCCAAUCUUUCAUGGCUCCUUACUGACAGAGAGCCCUUAUAUUAUUCGAAGUGUCAAUGCUGCUGCUAAGUCACUUCAGUCAUGUCUGACUCUGUGUGACCCCAUAGACGUCAGCCCACCAGGCUCCCCCACCCCUGGGAUUCUCCAGGCAAGAACACUGGAGUGGGUUGCCAUUUCCUAGCUUAUUGGAGGGGGUUUCUUAGAACAACCUUUAAAGAUGGUUGACUUCACUGGGAGGUCUCCCCUUUGCCUCAGCCUCAUUGCUGCUGCUUAGAAUGGAUGUGGUAUCUGCAGCUGCAAAUCUUGUUACCAGGAAACAACCCUGAGGAUGGAAGCCAUGGGCUAAGGAGAGCGGAAUAGAGAUGUAGAAGGAGCCUGAGUCCCUAAUAGGAUGGAGUCACCCUACCAGGCCUGCUGUGCCUAUUUUGAACUUCCCCAUAAGAGAGAACUAAAGUUUCAAUUUGUUUAAAUCACUCUUACUCACAUUUCCUGUUUUAUGUGAAAGUGAAGUGAAAGUGUUACUCGCUCAGUUGUGUCUGACUCUUUGUGACCCUAUGGAUUGUAGCCUGCCAGGCUCCUCUGUCCACAGAUUUUCCAGGCAAGAAUACUGGAGUGGGUUGCCAUUCCCUUCUCCAGGGGAUCUUCCCCACCCAGGGAUCAAACCUGAGUCUCCUGCAUUGCAGGCAGAUUCUUUAACAUCUGAGCCACCAGGGAAGCCCAAACUAAUCCCAGCUGAUACAGAGGAGAUAUUUACAGAGUCCUCAUACAUCAGAUGGAGAAGGCAAUGGCAACCCACUCCAGUACUCUUGCCUGGAAAAUCCCAUGGAUGGAGGAGCCUGGUGGGCUGCAGUCCAUGGGGUCGCGACUGAGCGACUUUGGUUUCACUUUUCACUUUCACACAUUGGAGAAGGAAAAGGCAACCCACUCCAGUGUUCUUGCCUGGAGAAUCCCAGGGAUGGUGGAGCCUGGUGGGCUGCCGUCUACGGGGUUGCACAGAGUCGGACACGACUGAAGUGACGCAGCAGCAGCAGCAGCAUACAUCAGAUAUUUCAUGCAUGUUACCUCUUCAUAGCUUCAUGAUAGUGCUAUAAAGGUUGGUCAGCCUGCUCCUUGUCUAGCUGUAUGUUAUUGGGAAAGUUACUUCACCUCUCUGCGCCUCUGUUUCCUCAUCUGUAAGAUGAAGACAACACAAUAAUAGCACCUCCUCAUAGAGUUAUGAAGAUCGGACAGUUCCUGUAUGUAAAACGCUUAGAAUUGUGCUUGGCGUGUAGUCAGUGCCUACUCUUGCAUGCAUGCUCAAUCACAUCCGACUCUGUGACCCUAUGGACUGUAGCCCACCAGGCUUCUCUGUCCAUGGGAUUUUCCAGGUAAGAAUACUGAAUUGGGUUGCCAUUUCCUUCUCCAGGGGAACUUCCUGACCCAGGGAUAAAACCUGCGUCUCCUGUGUUGGCAGGCGUCUUUAUCACUGAGCCACCAGGGAAGGUGGUGCCUACUCUUAGCAAUUGCCAUAUUAGCAAUAACAUAAUCACAUUCAGAUGCCUGACUAUAGCUCAGAAAACUUCAGUAACUUGUCUAAGGUGACACAGUAAGUGGUAGAGCCAAGUUGCAAACACAGGCCUACAUGAAUCUUAAAACUAUGCAUUUCUCCAUGCACUUUGGAAGGACCCAAUGUGGGUAGGCUGCAGGGUGGAGGGCAGGAGAUGGUCAUGAUCAUGGCAUCCAGUCCCAUCACUUCUGGCAAAUAGAUGGGGAAAAGUGGAAGCAGUGACAGAGUUUAUUUUCUUGGGCUCCAAAAUCACUGCAAACAGUGACUGCAACCAUGAAAUUAAAAGAUGCUUGCUCCUUGGAACGAAAACUAUGACAAACAUAGACAGUGUAUUAAAAAGCAAAGAUAUCAUUUUGCCGACAAAAGUCCAUAUAGUCAUGGCUUUUCCAGUAGUCAUGUAUGGCUGUAAAAGUUGGACUAUAAAGAAAGGCUGAGCACUGAACUGAUGACUUCGAAUUGUGGUGCUGGAGAAGACUCUUGAGAAUCCCUUGGAUAGCAAGGAGAUCAAACCAGUCAAUCCUAAAGGAAAUCAACCCUGAAUAUUCACUGGAAGGACUAUGCUGAAGCUGAAGCUCCAAUACUUUGGCCACAUGAUGCAAAGAGCCCACUCAUUGGAAAAGACUCUGAUGCUGGGAAAGAUUGAAGGCAAAAGGAGAAGAGGGCAGCAAAAGAUGAGAUGGUUAGUACCACCACCUCAAUGGACAUGAAUCUGAGCAAACUCCAGGAGAUAGUGAAGGACAGGGAAGCUUGUGUACUGUAGUUGCAGAAUCAAGACACAAUUUAGCAACUGAACAAUAAUACCACCUGGGCUUCCUAGGUGGUGCUAGUGGUAAAGAAUCCUCUUGCAAUGCAGUUGGCCAGGUUGGAUCCCUAGGUCAGGAAGAUCCCCUGGAGGAAGAAAUUCAACCCACUCCAGUAUUCUUGCCUGAAAAAUUCCAGAAACAGUGGAGCCUGGCGGGCUACAGUCCAGGUGGCCACGAGGAACACACACGCAUAAUACCACCUACUUUAUGAGAUCAUCGUGAAGAUUAAAUGAGGUAAUAUAUGUAAAAGAAUAGUGUCUGACAUAUAGAAUAAAUGCAUAGUGUGAAAGUCACUCAGUUGUGUCCGACUCUUUAUGACCCCAUGGACUACACAGUCCAUGGAAUUGUCCAGGUCAGAAUACUGAAGUGGGAAGCUGUUUCCUUCUCCAGGAGAUCUUCCCAACCCAGGGAUCAAACCCAGGUCUCUCACAUUGUGGGAGGAUUCUUUACCAGUUGAGCCACCAGGGAAGUCCAUAAACACAUGUGUUGUUUAAAUAAAUAUAUACAAUUCGAGAGUUAUAGAUAACAUAUAAAUGAAACACUCCUUUUGUAGUUUAGUGCCAUAAAAAUUCAAAAACAGGAAAAAUCAUAGGAGAAAAGAAAUUUCACUUAUUUUAGUAGAACCAAAUAAUGGACAGAGAUGUGGGCUGGAUCCAGGCAAAAGUAUGGAGGCAGAAACUGGCAUGGUCAGUGCUACAGAAGAGGUGGGGGUGAGAAGGGAUGGUCAGACAGUAGAACUGGGGAAUAGGGAGAGAUAAGGUUGAGGUCUGAUUACAUAAGACUCUGAAAGCUAGAUUUGCUUUAAUGGGCAAUGACGAAUGGUUGGAACAUUUCAUGAUGAAUGUGGCCUAUUUGGAAGAUUCAUCUGGCAGAUGAAGAUUGGAGAAGAGAAAAUUAGAAGGAAGGACAAUUAGGAGGCAGUUACAAAAAUUCUGGCUUGAGGCAGUGAGAACCUAAUUUAAUAUUACAUUAGACAUGGAGGAGAUGAGGGGAAAUUUUGAGAUAUAUGGUUUUAUUUAUUCUUUUAAUUUUUAUUUCAUAUUGAAGCAUAGUUGAUUAACAAUGUUGUGUUAGUUUCAGGUAUAUAUCAAAGUGAUUCAGUUAUACAUGUAUCUAUUCCUUUUCAAUUUUUUUCCCAUUUAGGUUAUUAUAGAAUAUUCAGUGGAGUUCCUGUGCUAUAUGGUCAGUCUUUGUUGGUUGAGAUAUAUGGUUUUUAAUUUAUUUUCAAAAAAAUAAAGGUAAGAUAUACUUAAAGUUGAGCUUCCCUGGUAGCUCAGCUGGUAAAGAAUCUGCCUGAGACCCCGGUUCAAUGCAGGAGACCCCGGUUCAAUUCCUGGGUAGGCAAGUUCCCUUGGAGAAGGGAUAGGCUACCCACUCCAGUAUUCUUGGGCUUCCCUGGUGGCUCAGAUGGUAAAGAAUCUGCUGCAAUGCAGGAGACCUGGGUUUGAUCCCUGGGUUGGGAAGGUUUCCUGGAGGAGGGCAUGGCACUCCAGUAUUCUUGCCUGGAGAAUCCCCAUGGGGAGAGGAGCCUGGUGGGUUACAGUCCAUGGGAUCACAAAGAUUCACACAUGACUGAGCGACUAUGCACAGCACAGAACAGCAUACUUAGAGUUAAAAAAAUCGGAUAGUACAUAAAGGCAUAAAAUGAAAAACAAAAUCUCCCGUCUCUUCCUCACCUCAAGUCUAGUUUCACAAAGGCAACCACUCUUUAACAGUUUCUUGUGUAUCUCAGAUGAGUUUUAAGCACAUAGCUAUCAAUAAACAGUUGACUCUCUUUUAUUUCAAGGAGGUUGCUUUCUAUAAUGUUGCCUCCAACGUUGAAUUAGCAAAUACCAUUGCUCCUGGGGGGAAAUACAGGGUAGGUUCUUGCAAGCCUAUGAUCAGAACAUUUUCAACUAAUAAAUUCAUAACUUUGUUUUGUGUUUCUGUCAAAAGACACCUUCUUUAAUAACUGUUGUUUCAUUAACUUGUGACUAACAGCCUUCUAAAUCCUGCCUGAAGGAAGCUUAUUUAACACCUGUUUUCUCUGUAGGGCACAGCUCAGCCUUCUUGCACCUGGAAGCACGUAAGCACUACCGUUGGGGGCCACUGAAAACAGUGAAAUCACCCGCAAAAACAAACCUGAAAAACAGCACUAAGUAGACCGUGAAUGGGACACUUGGCAGGAUGAGAGCUGAAACAAGAGGCGGAGUGUUGCUGCUGGGCCUCAGCUGGGAACGUAACUGUCCCAUGACUCAGAUUGGUUGUUGCUCUGGAUUUGUCUGGGAUUGACCAUGAAAACCUUAUGAGUACUGAUUGGGGAAUUACAGAUAAAUUUUAGUAAGUAGGCAAAUUGACAAAUACAGAACUUGCAAAUCAUGAGGAUGAACCAAAUGUAGAGAGAGGACCAGUUUCUCAACUGUGUGACUUGUCCAGUCACAGAUUGCAUUCAGAAGGGCCUUGAGCUUGGUUUAAUGCUCUGCUGUUGUUACUGUCCUGAAAUUCCUAACUUAAAAAAAAAAUUAUAGUUGAUUUAUAAUAUUGUGUUAGUUUCAAAUGUACAGCAAACUGAUUGGGUUAUAUAUAUACU